AGCAGCCGCGGUAAUUCCAGCUCCAAUAGCGUAUAUUAAAGUUGUUGCAGUUAAAAAGCUCGUAGUUGAAUUUCGGGGUCUGUCCGUCGGUCGGGCUUCACGGUCCGUACUGGUGUGAUGGGUUCCUACCUUCUGAAUAACCGGCAUGCCAUUCAGUUGGUGCGCCGGGGAAGCAGAGCUAUUACCUUGAAAAAAUUAGAGUGCUUAAAGCAGGCUAGUGCUUGAAUAGAUUAGCAUGGAAUAAUAAAAUAGGACGGCAUGGUUCUAUUUUGUUGGUUUCUAGGAUCACCGUAAUGGUUAAUAGGGAUAGUUGGGGGCAUUAGUAUUCAAUUGUCAGAGGUGAAAUUCUUGGAUUUAUUGAAGACUAACUUCUGCGAAAGCAUUUGCCAAGGAUGUUUUCAUUAAUCAAGAACGAAAGUUAGGGGAUCGAAGACGAUCAGAUACCGUCGUAGUCUUAACCAUAAACUAUGCCGACUAGGGAUCGGACGAUGUUAAUUUUUUAAUGACUCGUUCGGCGCCU
RNAcentral lists this ribosomal RNA (520 nucleotides) under uncultured Acaulospora. RNAcentral's name for it is "SSU rRNA". It matches the Rfam family "Eukaryotic small subunit ribosomal RNA", at positions 569 to 1088 of the family's 1831-position model. Lineage: Eukaryota; Fungi; Glomeromycota; Glomeromycetes; Diversisporales; Acaulosporaceae. The record is from RNAcentral.